RNAcentral lists this ribosomal RNA (253 nucleotides) under uncultured bacterium. RNAcentral describes it as "partial 16S ribosomal RNA". It matches the Rfam family "Bacterial small subunit ribosomal RNA", at positions 524 to 776 of the family's 1533-position model. The record is from RNAcentral.
UACGUAGGGUGCAAGCGUUGUCCGGAAUUAUUGGGCGUAAAGAGCUCGUAGGCGGUCUGUCGCGUCUGCUGUGAAAACUCAGGGCUUAACCCUGAGCUUGCAGUGGGUACGGGCAGACUAGAGUGCGGUAGGGGAGACUGGAAUUCCUGGUGUAGCGGUGAAAUGCGCAGAUAUCAGGAGGAACACCGGUGGCGAAGGCGGCUCACUGGCUCAUAUCUGACGCUCAGGCGCGACAGCGUGGGGAUCAAACAGG